Molecule: ribosomal RNA, 460 nt
Filed under: uncultured bacterium
Lineage: Bacteria
Description: partial 16S ribosomal RNA
Rfam family: Bacterial small subunit ribosomal RNA
Source: RNAcentral
CCUACGGGAGGCUGCAGUGAGGAAUAUUGGUCAAUGGGCGCAAGCCUGAACCAGCCAAGUCGCGUGAGGGAAGACGGCCCUACGGGUUGUAAACCUCUUUUGCCGGGGAGCAAGCCUGAGCACGUGUGCCCAGGCGGAGAGUACCCGGAGAAAAAGCAUCGGCUAACUCCGUGCCAGCAGCCGCGGUAAUACGGAGGAUGCGAGCGGUAUCCGGAUUUAUUGGGUUUAAAGGGUGCGUAGGCGGGUUAUCCAGUCCGCGGUAAAAUCGUGGAGCUCAACUCCAUCCAGCCGUUGAAACUGAUGAUCUUGAGUGGGCGAGAAGUAUGCGGAAUGCGUGGUGUAGCGGUGAAAUGCAUAGAUAUCACGCAGAACUCCGAUUGCGAAGGCAGCAUACCGGCGCCCGACUGACGCUGAAGCACGAAAGCGUGGGUAUCGAACAGGAUUAGAUACCCCUGUAGUC